Metopolophium dirhodum (rose-grain aphid) is the source of this 3198-nucleotide long non-coding RNA. RefSeq lists it as uncharacterized. The record is from RefSeq and is a predicted model, not a curated record. The transcript is spliced from 3 exons. NCBI's taxonomy places the organism in Eukaryota, Metazoa, Arthropoda, Insecta, Hemiptera, Aphididae.
UAUUUGCAAUAUAAUGCACCAAAAUCUUCAAAAACUUCGAUUGUUAAGAAAGUAUUUACUUUAAACGUUAAAUAAUCAACAAAGAAAGUGUACCUAAUGUGUACUUACCUUUCAAUGCAAGAAUCAAAGAAGAUAUGAAAUAAGAAAAAAAUUAUUACUUAAUAAUUUUUAAUGGUGACAUUAAUAUACAUUUUAUUGCUCGAACAACAACUGGCCUAAACUAGAAGAAAUAUUUUUCAACAAUAUGUAUGCAAAUUGAAAACUAUGUAGUAUUUUGAUUUAUUUAUAAAUAAAGUACUAUAAUAAAACUAAGAAGUUUAAUUUGUUGGUUACCGCGGGUCAUUACAAGCAUUGUGGACUAGGUACUGACCAUUAAAAAAAAAAAGGCUCGUCAUAAAAUUUCCAUAAAUAUGAUCCAAUUACUACAAUUAGUUUACUGUUUGAUGUGUCAGAACAAACAUAGAACAUUAACUGGUGAUAAACUUUAUUUGGAUUCAUCUAAAUUCUCAUUAUUGUCAAAACAAAAUCAAAUAGAAAGUCUUAUCACAAAAUGUAAAAGUGACUUUCCACAUGGAUUUCAUAAUUCAACAAUGUAUACCUACUCACAACAUUGAAUAUCACAUAAUAUCUUGACUGUUUGAAUAUUAACAUACAUGCACUACACCAGCUAUGCAAUCUAACUGUACCAAUAGAUAAAUUAAGUAUGAUUAAAUUAGUUAAAUUAUAAAAAACAUAUGUUAUAGGUGUUAUAAUUUUAAUAAUAAUACUAUACUGAGAAAAAUCUAAAAUUCUACAAAAUACUUAGCAAAGACAACUUUUUCUAAAUUUAACAAAAUGUGAGACUAAGGUCGUAGACUUCUAGCGUAUAAAGAUCUUUAUUUAGUUCUAUUUUUUUCAAAUUUAUCUAUAUCUUUGUCACAGAUGAGGUGGAUUAUAAGCAGGAAACUUUUUCAUUUUUUUUCUUAGAAGUAACGAUUAGAUUUGUUGAAUUACUAAAAGAUUUUAGAUUUUACACAAAUACUCUGCUUAUGCAAUCCGUUAAGUAAAUUCUAUUAUUUUUUGUAUAUUUAGUGAAUUUAGUCAGUAUUUCAGAAAAAAAAAUGAUUUUACUAAAUUUUUGUCUUAACAGCAAUCAUUAAUGUGCGCAAUUGCAUCCCUUGUUUCUUUCAAUAACUAAAAGAUAUAACUAAUUGAUAUUAGCUAUAUAGUUUUAAUAUAGUCAUUGAUCAUGAAUAUUAGUUGUUAAUGCUUAUGAACUGUUAAUUUUUAAUUAUUAAUAAUAUUGUUAUAUUACAAUGAAGGUUAAAUAAAAAAGUUGAUUUUUAAAUUAAACAUGUCUGUGCAUGCCUGUAACAAUAUUAUAUUUGAUGCAUCUUUUCGGAUUUAAUAUGUAAAAUGUAUGUUUAAUUAAUAUUAUUUAAUUAUUAAAUAAAAGUUAAACAGUAGGGCCCACAAAUAUCGAUAAAUGCAAGUUUAUUAAUGUUGCUGUUAAGAUACUUACCUUUUAGUACAUACCUACUAUAAGUAGGUAUCAAAAUAAAUAAAUUAUUAUUUAAUAAUUACCAUCGUAUUUUUAUUUAAAGGUUUUUUUUUUUAACAUUAUUAUUUUACGGCCAACAUUUAGGUUUUUGAUAAUGAAUAACCUCUCCUCUUUUUCUGUCUUGAGUAGGACACCUUGGUGUAUUCUUAAACAUACAAAAAAAUAUAAAACAUUAUUUAGUCAUGUACAUAAUAUUAUGUAGAAUGAAUUACAAUAAAUUAUUAAAUAUGGUAAAUAGUACAAAAAACAUUAAUAUUACUUUAUUAUUUUUAUCAUCCCAAUAAGCAAAUCUAGAUUUGGCUUUCCUUAUAAUGUAUUUAUCUUCCACAGUUUGUUCGCCAAUUUUGAUGCCAUUUAAAAUUUCCAAAAAUUUACUGUGCUUGGGACACCACCAUUCAGUACAAUUCUAAUAACAUACAAAUUAUAAAUAUGAUAUUAAAACUAUUUUAAAUAAAUACAUUACAUAAUUUGUUUUCAAUGUAUCAUCGAUGACAUUUAUCAGACUGCUUGUCUCAUCUUGUAAUUUCAAUCUAUCCAUCUUUGAGCAUACAAGUUUUUCUAUAAAAGAAACCUUGGAUUCAAUCGGCAGUAAAUCAUCUCUCUUAACAUAAUUAUUCAUAUUUUUAGCAGAUGAGAUUAAGCUAUGCACAUUUUGUUGUUCCUGAAAGUAAAUAAUUUUAAUUUAGGAAAAUGUGUUGGACAUGCUUUUUUAUUUACUAAAUUUAUUUUUACUUUUUUUUUUUCUUCGUAAUGUUCUGCCUUAUCUUUCACCUCAAUAGUGGCCAUUUUUUGUUUAAAUAAUUUCUACAAAAAUAACAGUUAACAAAUUUUAUUUAAAUAAUUUUGCUACUUUUACUUACAAUUUCUUUUUCUAAAGAAUCAUUUUUGGUUUUAAUUGCUGACUAUAAAAAAAAAAAACAAAAAAAUUGUAAUAUGUAAUUAAUAUUAUUUAUUAUUGUUAAGCAUUAUAAAUUUUUUUAAAUUCAAUAUAAAUUUUGUUACCAAUGUACUUACAUUGUCUUCUUCCAAAAUCUCAUUUUUUGUUUUAAGUAUAGCCUAUAUAAAAAAAAAAUGUGUUACUAUUAUUAUUUAUUAUUAUUAAGCAUGUUUUUUUUAUUUUUAAACAUACAUAUUUUUCUUUAUAUGACUUUUCUUGAAUUUUUAAUGUCACCUAAUAAUAUUAUGUAAUUGUUAAUAAAUUGUAUACUAACUAUGUAAUUUUUUUUUUUCAUUAUUUAUUAUUAGGGCAGUGAAGUUAUUGCAUUAAAAAACUCAACAAAUUGAUUGUAUUAUUGCACUAAAAUAUAUUAAAAAUUGCACUUAAGGAAAAAAAAUAGCAUUUAUUUCAAUAAAAACAUAAAAUCAUAGCUAACUGAAACAUAUUUUAAGCUCACUUAGCAAUGAAUAUAAUAUUAAGUAUCUACAAAAAAAUAUGAAAAUGCAACAACUCCACUGCUUUAAUAAUUUGGUCACUUACAAGUUCUUCAGUGAGUGACUUAUUAUCAGUUUGAAGCUGUAUCACAUCUUCAGCAUAGUAACUGCUUUCAACUUUUUUAUUGUUAAAUUGCUCGUUUAAAUUAUGGUAUUGCUGUAAAUGUGUGUAUUGUUGUUUCUUAUUAUUAUUUUCAGAAUAUAAAUAAAAUUGAUGUAUAUAUUAA